AGUUUCAGUUAGCCAACGUACGUAAACGUAUCCUGCCGGCGAGUGGCGAACGGGUGAGUAAUACAUCGGAACGUGCCCUGUAGUGGGGGAUAACUAGUCGAAAGAUUAGCUAAUACCGCAUACGACCUGAGGGUGAAAGUGGGGGACCGCAAGGCCUCAUGCUAUAUGAGCGGCCGAUGUCUGAUUAGCUAGUUGGUGGGGUAAAGGCCCACCAAGGCGACGAUCAGUAGCUGGUCUGAGAGGACGAUCAGCCACACUGGGACUGAGACACGGCCCAGACUCCUACGGGAGGCAGCAGUGGGGAAUUUUGGACAAUGGGCGAAAGCCUGAUCCAGCAAUGCCGCGUGUGUGAAGAAGGCCUUCGGGUUGUAAAGCACUUUUGUCCGGAAAGAAAUGGCUCUGGUUAAUACCUGGGGUCGAUGACGGUACCGGAAGAAUAAGGACCGGCACUACGUGUACAUAGAGCCAGCAGCCGCGGUAAUACGUAGGGUCCAAGCGUUAAUCGGAAUUACUGGGCGUAAAGCGUGCGCAGGCGGUUGUGCAAGACCGAUGUGAAAUCCCCGAGCUUAACUUGGGAAUUGCAUUGGUGACUGCACGGCUAGAGGUCAUUGUGUCAGAGGGGGGUAGAAUUCCACGUGGUCAUAUAGCAGUGAAAUGCGUAGAGAUGUGGAGGAAUACCGAUGGCGAAGGCAGCCCUGGGAUAACACUGACGGUCAUGCACGAAAGCGUGGGGCAAACAGGAUUAGAUACCGUAGUCCACGCCCUAAACGAUGUCAACUAGUUGUUGGGGAUUCAUUUCCUUAGUAACGUAGCUACGCGUGAAGUUGACCGCCUGGGGAGUACUCGCAAGAUUAAAACUCAAAGGAAUUGACGGGGACCCGCACAAGCGGUGGAUGAUUGUGGAUAUUCGAUGCAACGCGGAUUACUCG
Molecule: ribosomal RNA, 929 nt
Filed under: Ralstonia mannitolilytica
Lineage: Bacteria; Pseudomonadati; Pseudomonadota; Betaproteobacteria; Burkholderiales; Burkholderiaceae
Description: bacterial SSU rRNA
Rfam family: Bacterial small subunit ribosomal RNA
Source: RNAcentral